RNAcentral lists this ribosomal RNA (354 nucleotides) under Clostridioides difficile. RNAcentral's name for it is "bacterial LSU rRNA". It matches the Rfam family "Bacterial large subunit ribosomal RNA", at positions 2270 to 2623 of the family's 2925-position model. Lineage: Bacteria; Bacillati; Bacillota; Clostridia; Peptostreptococcales; Peptostreptococcaceae. The record is from RNAcentral.
UUGACUGGGGCGGUCGCCUCCCAAAAGGUAACGGAGGCGCUCAAAGGUUCUCUCAGUACGGUCGGAAAUCGUACGUAGAGUGUAAAGGCAAAAGAGAGCUUGAUUGCAAGACAUACAGGUCGAGCAAGGAUGAAAAUCGGACUUAGUGAUCCGGUGGUUCUGCGUGGAAGGGCCAUCGCUCAACGGAUAAAAGCUACCCUGGGGAUAACAGGCUUAUCUCCCCCAAGAGUCCACAUCGACGGGGAGGUUUGGCACCUCGAUGUCGGCUCAUCACAUCCUGGGGCUGUAGUAGGUCCCAAGGGUUGGGCUGUUCGCCCAUUAAAGUGGUACGCGAGCUGGGUUCAGAACGUCGUG